UGUGGGAGCGAGCCUGCUCGCGAUAGCGGUCGUUAAGCAUGCAUCGAUAUAGGACAUGCUGCCGUCAUCGCGAGCAGGCUCGCUCCCACA
This 90-nucleotide unclassified non-coding RNA is filed under the name Pseudomonas corrugata. The record is from RNAcentral. Lineage: Bacteria; Pseudomonadati; Pseudomonadota; Gammaproteobacteria; Pseudomonadales; Pseudomonadaceae.